CCUACGGGAGGCUGCAGUGGGGAAUAUUGGACAAUGGGCGCAAGCCUGAUCCAGCCAUGCCGCGUGGGUGAAGAAGGCCUUCGGGUUGUAAAGCCCUUUUGUGAAAAGUGCGGUACCGGAAGAAUAAGCACCGGCUAACUUCGUGCCAGCAGCCGCGGUAAUACGAAGGGUGCAAGCGUUACUCGGAAUUACUGGGCGUAAAGCGUGCGUAGGUGGUUUGUUAAGUCUGAUGUGAAAGCCCUGGGCUCAACCUGGGAAUUGCAUUGGAUACUGGCAGGCUAGAGUGCGGUAGAGGGUAGUGGAAUUCCCGGUGUAGCAGUGAAAUGCGUAGAUAUCGGGAGGAACACCAGUGGCGAAGGCGACUACCUGGACCAGACUGACACUGAGGCACGAAAGCGUGGGGAGCAAACAGGAUUAGAUACCCGUGUAGUC
Molecule: ribosomal RNA, 432 nt
Filed under: uncultured bacterium
Lineage: Bacteria
Description: partial 16S ribosomal RNA
Rfam family: Bacterial small subunit ribosomal RNA
Source: RNAcentral